RNAcentral lists this ribosomal RNA (253 nucleotides) under uncultured bacterium. Its description in RNAcentral is "partial 16S ribosomal RNA". It matches the Rfam family "Bacterial small subunit ribosomal RNA", at positions 524 to 776 of the family's 1533-position model. The record is from RNAcentral.
UACAGAGGGUGCAAGCGUUAAUCGGAAUUACUGGGCGUAAAGCGCACGUAGGCGGCUUUGUAAGUUAGAGGUGAAAGCCCGGGGCUCAACUCCGGAAUUGCCUUUAAGACUGCAUCGCUAGAAUUGUGGAGAGGUAAGUGGAAUUCCGAGUGUAGAGGUGAAAUUCGUAGAUAUUCGGAAGAACACCAGUGGCGAAGGCGACUUACUGGACACAUAUUGACGCUGAGGUGCGAAAGCGUGGGGAGCAAACAGG